Molecule: ribosomal RNA, 447 nt
Filed under: uncultured bacterium
Lineage: Bacteria
Description: bacterial SSU rRNA
Rfam family: Bacterial small subunit ribosomal RNA
Source: RNAcentral
CGCCCAGACUCCUACGGGAGGCAGCAGUGGGGAAUAUUGCACAAUGGGGGAAACCCUGAUGCAGCGACGCCGCGUGAGUGAAGAAGUAUUUCGGUCUGUAAAGCUCUAUCAGCAGGGAAGAAAAUGACGGUACCUGACUAAGAAGCCCCGGCUAACUACGUGCCAGCAGCCGCGGUAAUACGUAGGGGGCAAGCGUUAUCCGGAUUUACUGGGUGUAAAGGGAGCGUAGACGGCUGUGCAAGCCAGAUGUGAAAGCCCGGGGCUCAACCCCGGGACUGCAUUUGGAACUGUGUGGCUGGAGUGUUGGAGAGGCAGGCGGAAUUCCUAGUGUAGUGGUGAAAUGCGUAGAUAUUAGGAGGAACACCAGUGGCGAAGGCGGCCUGCUGGACGAUGACUGACGUUGAGGCUCGAAAGCGUGGGGAGCGAACAGGAUUAGAUACCCUAGUA